RNAcentral lists this small nuclear RNA (23 nucleotides) under Arabidopsis thaliana (thale cress). RNAcentral's name for it is "snRNA_06798". Lineage: Eukaryota; Viridiplantae; Streptophyta; Magnoliopsida; Brassicales; Brassicaceae. The record is from RNAcentral.
AAUAUGCCUAUAUGCAAAUGCAA